This 571-nucleotide ribosomal RNA is filed under the name uncultured bacterium. RNAcentral describes it as "bacterial SSU rRNA". It matches the Rfam family "Bacterial small subunit ribosomal RNA", at positions 8 to 593 of the family's 1533-position model. The record is from RNAcentral.
AGAGUUUGAUCCUGGCUCAGGACGAACGCUGGCGGCGUGCCUAACACAUGCAAGUCGAGCGGGGAGAGAUUUUCGGAUUUCUCUUUAGCGGCGGACGGGUGAGUAACACGUGGGUAACCUGCCUCAAAGUGGGGGAUAGCCUUCCGAAAGGAAGAUUAAUACCGCAUAAUAUCAGAGCACUGCAUGGUGCUGUGAUUAAAGGAGCAAUCCGCUUUGAGAUGGACCCGCGGCGCAUUAGCUAGUUGGUGAGGUAACGGCCCACCAAGGCGACGAUGCGUAGCCGACCUUGAGAGGGUGAUCGGCCACAUUGGAACUGAGACACGGUCCAGACUCCUACGGGAGGCAGCAGUGGGGAAUAUUGCACAAUGGGGGAAACCCUGAUGCAGCAACGCCGCGUGAGUGAUGAAGGCCUUCGGGUCGUAAAGCUCUUUGAUCAGGGACGAUAAUGACGGUACCUGAAAAACAAGCCACGGCUAACUACGUGCCAGCAGCCGCGGUAAUACGUAGGUGGGCGAGCGUUGUCCGGAUUUACUGGGCGUAAGGAAUGCGUAGGGGGAUAUUUAAAGUGGGA